GCUAACUACGUGCAGCAGCCGCGGUAAUACGUAGGUCCCAAGCGUUAUCCGGAUUUACUGGGCGUAAAGUGUCCGUAGCCUGAUAUACAAGUCAGUUUUCAAAUAUCUCGACUCAAUCGAGAAAAGGGAAUAGAUACUGUAUAUCUCGAGAUUAUUGGAGGUUAGUGGAAUUUCCGGUGGAGCGGUGAAAUGCGUUGAUAUCGGAAAGAACGCCGAAAGCGAAAGCAGCUAACUAUGAUAAUUCUGACGGUGAGGGACGAAAGCUUGGGUAGCAAACGGGAUUAGAUACCCCGGUAGUCCAAGCUGUAAAUUAUGUUUGCUAGGUGUUUCUACUUUGUAGAAGUGCCGAAUCUAACGAGUUAAGCAAAUCGCCUGGGUAGUAUAUUCGCAAGAAUGAAACUCAAAGGAAUUGACGGGGGAACACACAAGCAGUGGAUUAUCUAGAUUAAUUGGAUAAUAAGCCAAGAAUCUUACCCAGACUUGACAUGCAUUGUGUCUACGGUGAAAGCCGUAUAGUUAUAGCAAUAUAACGCUUUGCACAGGCGGUGCAUGGUCGUCGUCAGCUCGUGCCGCAAGGUGUCUAGUUAAGUCUAGUAACGAGCGCAACCCUCAUCGUUAGUUAGAAUGUCUAACGAGACUGCCUGGGUAACCAGAGGAAGGAGAGGAUGACGUCAGAUCCUCAUGCCCCUUAUGUCUGGGGCUUCAUAGAUAAUACAAUGGGUAGUAACAAUGAGAAGCAAUACCGUGAGGUGGAGCAAAUCUUCAAACCUACCCCUAGUUCGGAUUGUAGUCUGGAACUCGACUACAUGAAGUUGGAAUUGCUAGUAAUGGUGAAUCAGCCAUGUCACCGUGAAUAUGUCCCUGUUCCUUGCACUCACCGCCCGUCAAACCAUGGGAGCUGGGGCUCUCUAAAGAUUCGCCAUGCGGAGGGCGAUUACCAGGAGAGAACUGAUGACUGGGGUUAAGUCGUAACAAGGUAACCAAUC
Molecule: ribosomal RNA, 986 nt
Filed under: uncultured bacterium
Lineage: Bacteria
Description: bacterial SSU rRNA
Rfam family: Bacterial small subunit ribosomal RNA
Source: RNAcentral